CUAUCCUACGGGGGGCAGCAGUAGGGAAUUUUCGUCAAUGGGCGCAAGCCUGAACGAGCAAUGCCGCGUGAACGAGGAAGGUCUUCGGAUCGUAAAGUUCUGUUGAAGGGGAAAAAGAGCGGAGAGAGGAAAUGCUUUCUGAUUGAUAUUACCCUUCGAGGAAGUCACGGCUAACUACGUGCCAGCAGCCGCGGUAAUACGUAGGUGGCAAGCGUUGUCCGGAUUUAUUGGGCGUAAAGCGAGUGCAGGCGGUUCAAUAAGUCU
RNAcentral lists this ribosomal RNA (264 nucleotides) under uncultured bacterium. RNAcentral's name for it is "partial 16S ribosomal RNA". It matches the Rfam family "Bacterial small subunit ribosomal RNA", at positions 334 to 590 of the family's 1533-position model. The record is from RNAcentral.